AACGAACGCUGGCGGCAUGCCUAACACAUGCAAGUCGAACGAGACCUUCGGGUCUAGUGGCGCACGGGUGCGUAACGCGUGGGAACCUGCCCUUAGGUUCGGAAUAACUCCCCGAAAGGGGUGCUAAUACCGUGUAAUGUCUUCGGACCAAAGAUUUAUCGCCUCUGUCUGGGCCCGCGUUGGAUUAGCUAGUUGGUAGGGUAAAAGCCUGCCAAGGCGACGAUCCAUAGCUGGUCUGAGAGGAUGAUCAGCCACACUGGGACUGAGACACGGCCCAGACUCCUACGGGAGGCAGCAGUGGGGAAUAUUGGACAAUGGGCGAAAGCCUGAUCCAGCAAUGCCGCGUGAGUGAUGAAGGCCUUAGGGUUGUAAAGCUCUUUUACCCGGGAUGAUAUUGACAGUACCGGGAGAAGAAGCUCCGGCUAACUACGUG
This 433-nucleotide ribosomal RNA is filed under the name uncultured bacterium. RNAcentral describes it as "partial 16S ribosomal RNA". It matches the Rfam family "Bacterial small subunit ribosomal RNA", at positions 29 to 507 of the family's 1533-position model. The record is from RNAcentral.